GUGGGGAAUCUUGCGCAAUGGGCGAAAGCCUGACGCAGCAACGCCGCGUGAGCGAAGAAGGCCUUCGGGUUGUAAAGCUCUGUCAGGAGGAAAGAAGGCACCUGGGUUAAUAGCCCAAGGGCUGACGGUACCUCCAAAGGAAGCCACGGCUAACUACGUGCCAGCAGCCGCGGUAAUACGUAGGUGGCAAGCGUUGUCCGGAAUCAUUGGGCGUAAAGAGCGCGUAGGUGGCUUGUCAGGUCUGGUGUGAAAUUUCGGGGCUCAACCCCGAACCUGCAUCGGAAACCGGCUUGCUAGAGUCUGGGAGAGGAGAGUGGAAUUCCUGGUGUAGCGGUGAAAUGCGUAGAUAUCAGGAGGAACACCGGUAGCGAAGGCGGCUCUCUGGAACAGUACUGACGCUGAGGCGCGAAAGCUAGGGGAGCGAACAGGAUUAGAAACCCCAGUAGUCC
RNAcentral lists this ribosomal RNA (449 nucleotides) under uncultured bacterium. Its description in RNAcentral is "bacterial SSU rRNA". It matches the Rfam family "Bacterial small subunit ribosomal RNA", at positions 354 to 796 of the family's 1533-position model. The record is from RNAcentral.